AAAGUCGUAACAAGGUUUCCGUAGGUGAACCUGCGGAAGGAUCAUUAACAAAUCCUGGAUUGUUGCAUGGGUGCACGUGUCGUUGAACCAGGGAUCCGUUCCUGUUCAUUCGAUUAGUGCAUCCUCGACAAUACACACGUUCCAUGUGCAUUCAAUUGUGCAUGACAACAUUUCUACGAAUCAUCUGAUUGUCACAUUAAUUUAAUUUACAAAAGACUUUUAACAAUGGAUCUCUAGGCUCUU
Molecule: unclassified non-coding RNA, 243 nt
Filed under: Ascomycota sp.
Lineage: Eukaryota; Fungi; Ascomycota
Description: partial contains small subunit ribosomal RNA, internal transcribed spacer 1, and 5.8S ribosomal RNA
Rfam family: Eukaryotic small subunit ribosomal RNA (bases 1-47)
Source: RNAcentral